RNAcentral lists this transfer RNA (77 nucleotides) under Bradyrhizobium japonicum. Its description in RNAcentral is "tRNA-Met". The record is from RNAcentral. Lineage: Bacteria; Pseudomonadati; Pseudomonadota; Alphaproteobacteria; Hyphomicrobiales; Nitrobacteraceae.
GGAGAUCAACGGAUCUGACCAAUCUUCAGCCGCUCAUAACGAUCUGGUUGCAGGUUCGAGUCCUGCCGGGCCCACCA